RNAcentral lists this transfer RNA (71 nucleotides) under Marmota monax (woodchuck). It matches the Rfam family "tRNA". Rfam says of the family: Transfer RNA (tRNA) molecules are approximately 80 nucleotides in length. Their secondary structure includes four short double-helical elements and three loops (D, anti-codon, and T loops). Further hydrogen bonds mediate the characteristic L-shaped molecular structure. tRNAs have two regions of fundamental functional importance: the anti-codon, which is responsible for specific mRNA codon recognition, and the 3' end, to which the tRNAs corresponding amino acid is attached (by aminoacyl-tRNA synthetases). tRNAs cope with the degeneracy of the genetic code in two manners: having more than one tRNA (with a specific anti-codon) for a particular amino acid; and 'wobble' base-pairing, i.e. permitting non-standard base-pairing at the 3rd anti-codon position. The record is from Rfam by way of RNAcentral. RNAcentral also lists the same sequence under 1 other name. Lineage: Eukaryota; Metazoa; Chordata; Mammalia; Rodentia; Sciuridae.
GAGGGUAGAGCUUAGUGUAGAGCCCAUGCUUAAUAUGCACAAGACCCUGGGUUCAAUCCCCAGUACACACA